Molecule: ribosomal RNA, 1663 nt
Filed under: Staphylococcus aureus
Lineage: Bacteria; Bacillati; Bacillota; Bacilli; Caryophanales; Staphylococcaceae
Description: partial 23S ribosomal RNA
Rfam family: Bacterial large subunit ribosomal RNA
Source: RNAcentral
GUGAAAUUCCGUCGGAAUCUGGGAGGACCAUCUCCUAAGGCUAAAUACUCUCUAGUGACCGAUAGUGAACCAGUACCGUGAGGGAAAGGUGAAAAGCACCCCGGAAGGGGAGUGAAAUAGAACCUGAAACCGUGUGCUUACAAGUAGUCAGAGCCCGUUAAUGGGUGAUGGCGUGCCUUUUGUAGAAUGAACCGGCGAGUUACGAUUUGAUGCAAGGUUAAGCAGUAAAUGUGGAGCCGUAGCGAAAGCGAGUCUGAAUAGGGCGUUUAGUAUUUGGUCGUAGACCCGAAACCAGGUGAUCUACCCUUGGUCAGGUUGAAGUUCAGGUAACACUGAAUGGAGGACCGAACCGACUUACGUUGAAAAGUGAGCGGAUGAACUGAGGGUAGCGGAGAAAUUCCAAUCGAACCUGGAGAUAGCUGGUUCUCUCCGAAAUAGCUUUAGGGCUAGCCUCAAGUGAUGAUUAUUGGAGGUAGAGCACUGUUUGGACGAGGGGCCCCUCUCGGGUUACCGAAUUCAGACAAACUCCGAAUGCCAAUUAAUUUAACUUGGGAGUCAGAACAUGGGUGAUAAGGUCCGUGUUCGAAAGGGAAACAGCCCAGACCACCAGCUAAGGUCCCAAAAUAUAUGUUAAGUGGAAAAGGAUGUGGCGUUGCCCAGACAACUAGGAUGUUGGCUUAGAAGCAGCCAUCAUUUAAAGAGUGCGUAAUAGCUCACUAGUCGAGUGACACUGCGCCGAAAAUGUACCGGGGCUAAACAUAUUACCGAAGCUGUGGAUUGUCCUUUGGACAAUGGUAGGAGAGCGUUCUAAGGGCGUUGAAGCAUGAUCGUAAGGACAUGUGGAGCGCUUAGAAGUGAGAAUGCCGGUGUGAGUAGCGAAAGACGGGUGAGAAUCCCGUCCACCGAUUGACUAAGGUUUCCAGAGGAAGGCUCGUCCGCUCUGGGUUAGUCGGGUCCUAAGCUGAGGCCGACAGGCGUAGGCGAUGGAUAACAGGUUGAUAUUCCUGUACCACCUAUAAUCGUUUUAAUCGAUGGGGGGACGCAGUAGGAUAGGCGAAGCGUGCGAUUGGAUUGCACGUCUAAGCAGUAAGGCUGAGUAUUAGGCAAAUCCGGUACUCGUUAAGGCUGAGCUGUGAUGGGGAGAAGACAUUGUGUCUUCGAGUCGUUGAUUUCACACUGCCGAGAAAAGCCUCUAGAUAGAAAAUAGGUGCCCGUACCGCAAACCGACACAGGUAGUCAAGAUGAGAAUUCUAAGGUGAGCGAGCGAACUCUCGUUAAGGAACUCGGCAAAAUGACCCCGUAACUUCGGGAGAAGGGGUGCUCUUUAGGGUUAACGCCCAGAAGAGCCGCAGUGAAUAGGCCCAAGCGACUGUUUAUCAAAAACACAGGUCUCUGCUAAACCGUAAGGUGAUGUAUAGGGGCUGACGCCUGCCCGGUGCUGGAAGGUUAAGAGGAGUGGUUAGCUUCUGCGAAGCUACGAAUCGAAGCCCCAGUAAACGGCGGCCGUAACUAUAACGGUCCUAAGGUAGCGAAAUUCCUUGUCGGGUAAGUUCCGACCCGCACGAAAGGCGUAACGAUUUGGGCACUGUCUCAACGAGAGACUCGGUGAAAUCAUAGUACCUGUGAAGAUGCAGGUUACCCGCGACAGGACGGAAAGACCCCG